CCUACGGGAGGCAGCAGUGAGGAAUAUUGGUCAAUGGGCGCGAGCCUGAACCAGCCAAGUAGCGUGAAGGAUGACUGCCCUACGGGUUGUAAACUUCUUUUAUAAAGGAAUAAAGUGAGGCACGUGUGCCUUUUUGUAUGGACUUUAUGAAUAAGGAUCGGCUAACUUCGUGCCAGCAGCCGCGGUAAUACGGAGGAUCCGAGCGUUAUCCGGAUUUAUUGGGUUUAAAGGGAGCGUAAAUGGGUUGUUAAGUCAGUUGUGAAAGUUUGCGGCUCAACCGUAAAAUUGCAAUUGAUACUGGCAGUCUUGAGUACAGUUGAGGUAGGCGGAAUUCGUGGUGUAGCGGUGAAAUGCGUAGAUAUAACGAAGAACACCGAUUGCGAAGGCAGCUUACUAAGCUGCCACUGACAUUGAUGCUCGAAAGUGUGGGUAGCAAACAGGAUUAGAUACCCUUGUAGUC
Molecule: ribosomal RNA, 460 nt
Filed under: uncultured bacterium
Lineage: Bacteria
Description: partial 16S ribosomal RNA
Rfam family: Bacterial small subunit ribosomal RNA
Source: RNAcentral